GGGGAAUUUUCCGCAAUGGGCGAAAGCCUGACGGAGCAAUACUGCGUGAGGGAUGACGGCCUAUGGGUUGUAAACCUCUUUUAUCAGGGAGGAAUCAAUGACGUGUACCUGAUGAAUAAGCAUCGGCUAACUCCGUGCCAGCAGCCGCGGUAAGACGGAGGAUGCAAGUGUUAUCCGGAAUCACUGGGCGUAAAGCGUCUGUAGGUGGUCUAAUAAGUCAACUGUUAAAUCUUGAGGCUCAACCUCGAAAUCGCAGUCGAAACUAUUAGACUAGAGUAUAGUAGGGGUAAAGGGAAUUUCCAGUGGAGCGGUGAAAUGCGUAGAGAUUGGAAAGAACACCGAUGGCGAAGGCACUUUACUGGGCUAUUACUAACACUGAGAGACGAAAGCUAGGGUAGCAAAUGGGAUUAGAUACCCCAGUAGUC
Molecule: ribosomal RNA, 425 nt
Filed under: uncultured cyanobacterium
Lineage: Bacteria; Bacillati; Cyanobacteriota
Description: bacterial SSU rRNA
Rfam family: Bacterial small subunit ribosomal RNA
Source: RNAcentral